AUCUUUCUUCAGAACAUAUUGUAUAAAACUAACCCACUUUCUAUCAGCAAUGGGAUACAAUACACCAACAUAUAGUUACUUUAUUAUCUCUUUCUUUACCACCUCCUACAUAGGAGGAUUGAGUCAACGCUGAUAUUCUAUACUUGGAACACAAUCCAACUCAAGUAAAUUUUAUGAGUAUAAAAACCAAAUGGGGUACCUAUAAUAUUUACAAUAGAUCAACCAAU
RNAcentral lists this long non-coding RNA (227 nucleotides) under Capsicum annuum. Its description in RNAcentral is "long non-coding RNA (CANN_LNC013966)". The record is from RNAcentral. Lineage: Eukaryota; Viridiplantae; Streptophyta; Magnoliopsida; Solanales; Solanaceae.